RNAcentral lists this unclassified non-coding RNA (613 nucleotides) under Hevea brasiliensis (rubber tree). Lineage: Eukaryota; Viridiplantae; Streptophyta; Magnoliopsida; Malpighiales; Euphorbiaceae. The record is from RNAcentral.
UCGUCAUCUCCCCCUUCUUCACCUGAGAAGUCUUCGUCGUUUGCAUCAUCGUCGUCAUCUCCCCCUUCUUCACCUGAGAAGUCUUCGUCGUUUGCAUCAUCGUCGUCAUCCUGAUCCUCAGCAUCUCCAUCAUCGUCGUCAUUAUCAUCCUCUGUAUCGCUGCCAUCUUUGUUCUCGGUACAAGCUUGGUUCUUUUGACUAAGCGCCUCAAAGGGAAACCUUCUAUCGGGGCUUAUCAGCUCCGAUAAUGGAGCAAUGCUUACAAACUUUGACGAUGGAGCAAUGGUUGCCAACUCUGACAAUGGAGCACCAUCCUUCAGCAAACAUCCCACCACCAUGAGCAGAGAAGCAACAGAUCUCUGAGUAACCAAAAGGGUCUCAGCAACAACAGCUUCAAGAACAGAGUUCACCACUAUUUUCCCAAAAGCUGCUACAUCAGAGCUGAAACUUUUUACCUCCAUUUUCCCUUAUAAAAAACCCAAAUUUUCCUCUGUUUUUCAAGAAAAGAGAAACAAGAGUUAAAGUACAACAAAAAUUAAUUUUGAAAAGAGUUAAAGUUGAAAGAUUUGGAAGAGAGAUGAAGAGAAAGUUUUCUGGGUUAGGGUUGGCUUUG